This 479-nucleotide ribosomal RNA is filed under the name Colletotrichum magnum. Its description in RNAcentral is "eukaryotic LSU rRNA". It matches the Rfam family "Eukaryotic large subunit ribosomal RNA", at positions 104 to 592 of the family's 3401-position model. The record is from RNAcentral. Lineage: Eukaryota; Fungi; Ascomycota; Sordariomycetes; Glomerellales; Glomerellaceae.
ACAGCUCAAAUUUGAAAUCUGGCCCCCCGGGUCCGAGUUGUAAUUUGCAGAGGAUGCUUUUGGCGCGGUGCCUUCCGAGUUCCCUGGAACGGGACGCCAUAGAGGGUGAGAGCCCCGUACGGUUGGACACCAAGCCUAUGUAAAGCUCCUUCGACGAGUCGAGUAGUUUGGGAAUGCUGCUCAAAAUGGGAGGUAUAUUUCUUCUAAAGCUAAAUACCGGCCAGAGACCGAUAGCGCACAAGUAGAGUGAUCGAAAGAUGAAAAGCACUUUGAAAAGAGGGUUAAACAGCACGUGAAAUUGUUAAAAGGGAAGCGCUUGUGACCAGACUUGCGUCCGGUGAAUCACCCAGCUCUCGCGGCUGGGGCACUUUGCCGGCUCAGGCCAGCAUCAGCUCGCCGUCGGGGACAAAAGCUUCGGGAACGUAGCUCUCUUCGGGGAGUGUUAUAGCCCGUUGCACAAUACCCUUCGGCGGGCUGAG